Molecule: ribosomal RNA, 470 nt
Filed under: uncultured bacterium
Lineage: Bacteria
Description: partial 16S ribosomal RNA
Rfam family: Bacterial small subunit ribosomal RNA
Source: RNAcentral
GACGAACGCUGGCGGCGUGCUUAACACAUGCAAGUCGAACGGUGAACGAGGGAUCUUGCUCCCUCCGGAUCAGUGGCGAACGGGUGAGUAACACGUGUGCAAUCUGCCCGAAAUUCGGGUAAAUCCGUGGAAAACGCGCUCAAAUCCGGAAGACACCCCGGAUGGACAGCCUCUCCUGGGGAAAUGAACUGCGGUUGGGGAUGGGCCCGCGGCCUAUAAGCUUGUUGGUGAGGUAACGGCUCACCAAGGCGACGACGGGUAGCCGGCCUGAGAGGGUGACCGGCCACACUGGGACUGAGACACGGCCCAGACUCCUACGGGAGGCAGCAGUGGGGAAUAUUGCACAAUGGGCGGAAGCCUGAUGCAGCAACGCCGCGUGAGGGACGACGGCCUUCGGGUUGUAAACCUCUUUUAGCAGGGAAGAAGCGAAAGUGACGGUACCUGCAGAAAAAGCACCGGCUAACUACGUG